GACGAACGCUGGCGGCGUGCCUAAUACAUGCAAGUAGAACGCUGAAGAGAGGAGCUUGCUCUUCUUGGAUGAGUUGCGAACGGGUGAGUAACGCGUAGGUAACCUGCCUUGUAGCGGGGGAUAACUAUUGGAAACGAUAGCUAAUACCGCAUAACAAUGGAUGACACAUGUCAUUUAUUUGAAAGGGGCAAUUGCUCCACUACAAGAUGGACCUGCGUUGUAUUAGCUAGUAGGUGAGGUAACGGCUCACCUAGGCGACGAUACAUAGCCGACCUGAGAGGGUGAUCGGCCACACUGGGACUGAGACACGGCCCAGACUCCUACGGGAGGCAGCAGUAGGGAAUCUUCGGCAAUGGGGGCAACCCUGACCGAGCAACGCCGCGUGAGUGAAGAAGGUUUUCGGAUCGUAAAGCUCUGUUGUAAGUCAAGAACGAGUGUGAGAGUGGAAAGUUCACACUGUGACGGUAGCUUACCAGAAAGGGACGGCUAACUACGUGCCAGCAGCCGCGGUAAUACGUANGUCCCGAGCGUUGUCCGGAUUUAUUGGGGCGUAAAGGCGAGCGCAGGCCGGUUUGAUAAGUCUGAAGUAAAAGGGCUGUGGCUCAACCAUAGUUCGCUUUGGAAACUGUCAAACUUGAGUGCAGAUGGGGAGAGUGGAAUUCCAUGUGUAGCGGUGAAAUGCGUAGAUAUAUGGAGGAACACCGGUGGCGAAAGCGGCUCUCUGGUCUGUAACUGACGCUGAGGCUCGAAAGCGUGGGGAGCGAACAGGAUUAGAUACCCUGGUAGUCCACGCCGUAAACGAUGAGUGCUAGGUGUUGGAUCCUUUCCGGGAUUCAGUGCCGCAGCUAACGCAUUAAGCACUCCGCCUGGGGAGUACGACCGCAAGGUUGAAACUCAAAGGAAUUGACGGGGGCCCGCACAAGCGGUGGAGCAUGUGGUUUAAUUCGAAGCAACGCGAAGAACCUUACCAGGUCUUGACAUCCCGAUGCUAUUUCUAGAGAUAGAAAGUUACUUCGGUACAUCGGUGACAGGUGGUGCAUGGUUGUCGUCAGCUCGUGUCGUGAGAUGUUGGGUUAAGUCCCGCAACGAGCGCAACCCCUAUUGUUAGUUGCCAUCAUUCAGUUGGGCACUCUAGCGAGACUGCCGGUAAUAAACCGGAGGAAGGUGGGGAUGACGUCAAAUCAUCAUGCCCCUUAUGACCUGGGCUACACACGUGCUACAAUGGUUGGUACAACGAGUUGCGAGUCGGUGACGGCAAGCUAAUCUCUUAAAGCCAAUCUCAGUUCGGAUUGUAGGCUGCAACUCGCCUACAUGAAGUCGGAAUCGCUAGUAAUCGCGGAUCAGCACGCCGCGGUGAAUACGUUCCCGGGCCU
Molecule: ribosomal RNA, 1373 nt
Filed under: uncultured bacterium
Lineage: Bacteria
Description: bacterial SSU rRNA
Rfam family: Bacterial small subunit ribosomal RNA
Source: RNAcentral